UGGGGGAUAUUGCACAAUGGGCGAAAGCCUGAUGCAGCGACGCCGCGUGGGGGAUGAAGGCUUUCGGGUUGUAAACCUCUUUCGCUAUCGAACAAGGCCCGCUUAGGGUGGGUUGAGGGUAGGUGGAGAAGAAGCGCCGGCUAACUACGUGCCAGCAGUCGCGGUAAUACGUAGGGCGCGAGCGUUGUCCGGAAUUAUUGGGCGUAAAGGGCUUGUAGGCGGCUUGUUGCGCCUGCUGUGAAAACGCGGGGCUUAACUUCGCGCGUGCAGUGGGUACGGGCAGGCUUGAGUGUGGUAGGGGUGACUGGAAUUCCAGGUGUAGCGGUGGAAUGCGCAGAUAUCUGGAGGAACACCGAUGGCGAAGGCAGGUCACUGGGCCAUUACUGACGCUGAGGAGCGAAAGCAUGGGUAGCGAACAGG
Molecule: ribosomal RNA, 420 nt
Filed under: bacterium
Lineage: Bacteria
Also listed under: 1 other name
Description: partial 16S ribosomal RNA
Rfam family: Bacterial small subunit ribosomal RNA
Source: RNAcentral